GCGGGUGUAGCUCAAUGGUAGAGCCCCAGCCUUCCAAGCUGGCCAUGCGGGUUCGAUUCCCGUCACCCGCUCGA
Molecule: transfer RNA, 74 nt
Filed under: Geodermatophilus obscurus
Lineage: Bacteria; Bacillati; Actinomycetota; Actinomycetes; Geodermatophilales; Geodermatophilaceae
Description: tRNA_Gly_TCC
Rfam family: tRNA
About the family: Transfer RNA (tRNA) molecules are approximately 80 nucleotides in length. Their secondary structure includes four short double-helical elements and three loops (D, anti-codon, and T loops).
Source: RNAcentral